Molecule: signal recognition particle RNA, 173 nt
Filed under: Clostridia bacterium
Lineage: Bacteria; Bacillati; Bacillota; Clostridia
Description: partial signal recognition particle sRNA large type
Rfam family: Bacterial large signal recognition particle RNA
About the family: The signal recognition particle (SRP) is a universally conserved ribonucleoprotein involved in the co-translational targeting of proteins to membranes. Archaeal SRP consists of a 7S RNA and homologues of the eukaryotic SRP19 and SRP54 proteins.
Source: RNAcentral
UCAUACCAGUCGGGGGAGUAGCGGAGCCAUGUACCUGAAAUCCGCUAUAGCAGGGAUGGAUUCCUUCUUUGAGGGCCGAUCGUUUGCGGCUGAGUCGUAUCGCUCGUGUUGAGAGAUGGGUCUUGCGCAAUCGGUGGCUGUGAACCAUGUCAGGUGGGGAACCAAGCAGCAUU